RNAcentral lists this ribosomal RNA (253 nucleotides) under uncultured bacterium. RNAcentral describes it as "partial 16S ribosomal RNA". It matches the Rfam family "Bacterial small subunit ribosomal RNA", at positions 524 to 776 of the family's 1533-position model. The record is from RNAcentral.
UACGGAGGAUCCAAGCGUUAUCCGGAUUUAUUGGGCGUAAAGAGCUCGUAGGCGGCUUGUCGCGUCGUCUGUGAAAGCCCCGGGCUCAACCUGGGAACCGCGCUUGAGACUGGCACGCUAGAGUUCGGGAGAGGAUGGUGGAAUUCCCAGUGUAGAGGUGAAAUUCGUAGAUAUUGGGAAGAACACCGAUGGCGAAGGCAGCCAUCUGGACCGACACUGACGCUGAGGCGCGAAAGCGUGGGGAGCAAACAGG